Molecule: ribosomal RNA, 619 nt
Filed under: Salmonella enterica subsp. enterica serovar Newport
Lineage: Bacteria; Pseudomonadati; Pseudomonadota; Gammaproteobacteria; Enterobacterales; Enterobacteriaceae
Description: partial 23S ribosomal RNA
Rfam family: Bacterial large subunit ribosomal RNA
Source: RNAcentral
GUAUAAUGGGUCAGCGACUUAUAUUCUGUAGCAAGGUUAACCGAAUAGGGGAGCCGGAGGGAAACCGAGUCUUAACCGGGCGUUAAGUUGCAGGGUAUAGACCCGAAACCCGGUGAUCUAGCCAUGGGCAGGUUGAAGGUUGGGUAACACUAACUGGAGGACCGAACCGACUAAUGUUGAAAAAUUAGCGGAUGACCUGUGGCUGGGGGUGAAAGGCCAAUCAAACCGGGAGAUAGCUGGUUCUCCCCGAAAGCUAUUUAGGUAGCGCCUCGUGAAUUCAUCUCCGGGGGUAGAGCACUGUUUCGGCUAGGGGGCCAUCCCGGCUUACCAACCCGAUGCAAACUGCGAAUACCGGAGAAUGUUAUCACGGGAGACACACGGCGGGUGCUAACGUCCGUCGUGAAGAGGGAAACAACCCAGACCGCCAGCUAAGGUCCCAAAGUCAUGGUUAAGUGGGAAACGAUGUGGGAAGGCCCAGACAGCCAGGAUGUUGGCUUAGAAGCAGCCAUCAUUUAAAGAAAGCGUAAUAGCUCACUGGUCGAGUCGGCCUGCGCGGAAGAUGUAACGGGGCUAAACCAUGCACCGAAGCUGCGGCAGCGACACUGUGUGUUGUUGGGUA